UACAGAGGGUGCAAGCGUUGUUCGGAAUUAUUGGGCGUAAAGGGCACGUAGGUGGUCCCAAAAGUCUACUGUGAAAUCCCUGGGCUUAACCCAGGAACUGCGGUGGAUACUCUGGGACUUGAGUACUGGAGGGGUGCGUGGAAUUCCCGGUGUAGCGGUGAAAUGCGCAGAUAUCAGGAGGAACACCGGUGGCGAAGGCGGGUCUCUGGGCAGUAACUGACGCUGAGGAGCGAAAGCGUGGGGAGCGAACAGG
RNAcentral lists this ribosomal RNA (253 nucleotides) under uncultured bacterium. RNAcentral's name for it is "partial 16S ribosomal RNA". It matches the Rfam family "Bacterial small subunit ribosomal RNA", at positions 524 to 776 of the family's 1533-position model. The record is from RNAcentral.